AUUUAAGUAGUUUAACAGAAAAUUUUGGUUUGUGGAACCAAAGAUAUAAUUAUUUAUCUUAAAUA
RNAcentral lists this transfer RNA (65 nucleotides) under Campsosternus auratus. RNAcentral describes it as "tRNA-His". It matches the Rfam family "tRNA". Rfam says of the family: Transfer RNA (tRNA) molecules are approximately 80 nucleotides in length. Their secondary structure includes four short double-helical elements and three loops (D, anti-codon, and T loops). Lineage: Eukaryota; Metazoa; Arthropoda; Insecta; Coleoptera; Elateridae. The record is from RNAcentral.